This 939-nucleotide ribosomal RNA is filed under the name Staphylococcus pseudintermedius. RNAcentral's name for it is "partial 23S ribosomal RNA". It matches the Rfam family "Bacterial large subunit ribosomal RNA", at positions 1471 to 2409 of the family's 2925-position model. The record is from RNAcentral. Lineage: Bacteria; Bacillati; Bacillota; Bacilli; Caryophanales; Staphylococcaceae.
GACGCAGUAGGAUAGGCGAAGCGUGCUGUUGGAGUGCACGUCCAAGCAGUGAGAUUGAGUGUUAGGCAAAUCCGGCACUCUUAAGAUUGAGCUGUGAUGGGGAGAGGAACUUGUUCCUCGAGUCGUUGAUUUCACACUGCCGAGAAAAGCCUCUAGCUAGAAUAACGGUGCCCGUACCGCAAACCGACACAGGUAGUCAAGAUGAGAAUUCUAAGGUGAGCGAGCGAACUCUCGUUAAGGAACUCGGCAAAAUGACCCCGUAACUUCGGGAGAAGGGGUGCUCUUUGAGGUUCACGCUUCGAAGAGCCGCAGUGAAUAGGCCCAAGCGACUGUUUAUCAAAAACACAGGUCUCUGCUAAACCGUAAGGUGACGUAUAGGGGCUGACGCCUGCCCGGUGCUGGAAGGUUAAGAGGAGUGGUUAGCGCAAGCGAAGCUACGAAUCGAAGCCCCAGUAAACGGCGGCCGUAACUAUAACGGUCCUAAGGUAGCGAAAUUCCUUGUCGGGUAAGUUCCGACCCGCACGAAAGGCGUAACGAUUUGGGCACUGUCUCAACGAGAGACUCGGUGAAAUCAUAGUACCGGUGAAGAUGCCGGUUACCCGCGACAGGACGGAAAGACCCCGUGGAGCUUUACUGUAGCCUGAUAUUGAAAUUCGGUACAGUUUGUACAGGAUAGGUAGGAGCCUUAGAAGCGUGAGCGCUAGCUUACGUGGAGGCAUUGGUGGGAUACUACCCUAAUUGUAUUGGAUUUCUAACCCGCAGCACUUAUCGUGCUGGGAGACAGUGUCAGGCGGGCAGUUUGACUGGGGCGGUCGCCUCCUAAAGAGUAACGGAGGCGCUCAAAGGUUCCCUCAGAAUGGUUGGAAAUCAUUCAUAGAGUGUAAAGGCAUAAGGGAGCUUGACUGCGAGACCUACAAGUCGAGCAGGGUCGAAAGACGG